Molecule: long non-coding RNA, 814 nt
Filed under: Homo sapiens (human)
Lineage: Eukaryota; Metazoa; Chordata; Mammalia; Primates; Hominidae
Description: HSALNT0241573
Source: RNAcentral
GCUCUGUCACCCAGGCUGGAGUGCAGUGGUGUGAUCUCGGCUCACUGCAACCUCCACCUCCCAGGUUCAAGUGAUUCUCCUGCCUCCCUCUCAAAUACCUGGGAUUACAGGUGCCCACCACCACGCCUGGCUAAUUUUUGUAGUUUUAGUAGAGAUGUGGUUUCAUCAUGUUGGCCAGGCUGGUCUUGAACUGCUGACCUCAAGUUAUCUGCCUACCUUUGCCUCCCAACGUGCUGGGAGGGCGUGAGCCACGGUGCCCAGCCUUUUAUUUUUUAUUUUUAUUUUUAAUCUGUCUUGAUUUUGCUUCCUUCCUAAACAGUUUUGGCUUCGUGAUCACGUAAACCAAGAGUCACAAACUGAAAUGCCAUCAAGGGGCCAAGCAGGCUUAAAACCUCUCAAAGGUUCUUCACCCCCUCAAGGCUGCAGCACACACCUCCCAGCACAGCUCUGCAAGUUGACCCCGCCCUUCUUCUCCAUCGGUGGUUCUCAGAGUGUAGCCCUCCGAGCAGCAGCACUCUGACCCGCUCCAUCAAGAUCUCUAGGCUUGGAGCUUGCGAGACUAUGUAAACAAGGCCAGUUUUUUGUUCGUUUGUUUGUUUUUUGGAGACAGAGUCUCGCUGUGUCACUCAGGCUGGAGUGCAGUGGCUUGAUCUUGGCUUACUCCAUCUCCACCUCCCAGGUUGAAGUGAUUCUCCCGCCUCAACCUCCUGAGCAGCUGGGACUAUAGGUGUGCACCACCACACCCAGCUAAUUUUUGCAUUUUUAGUAGAAAUGGGGUUUCAGGCCGGGCGCGGUGGCUCACGCCUGUAAUCCC